Long non-coding RNA from Vitis vinifera (wine grape), 700 nucleotides. RefSeq lists it as uncharacterized. The transcript is spliced from 2 exons. NCBI's taxonomy places the organism in Eukaryota, Viridiplantae, Streptophyta, Magnoliopsida, Vitales, Vitaceae. The record is from RefSeq and is a predicted model, not a curated record.
CUAAUAAUUUGGAAUCUAGCUUUGUGGUACGGAGACUCCCUCGUCUACUGUUUAGGUUUUUUUUAACAAAAAUAUUCAAUAGAAGAUAAUGGUUUGUAAACCAUUGAGAAAUAAUGAUAAUAAAUUAAUAAUAAAGCAGCCUAUUAGGGUUAGAAGUGACUAAGAGUGCUCAACGCCCGGUUCCACUGCGAAUAUCGAUCUUUCUCUCCACAUCUCACCGGCGGCGAUCUCUCAUAAAAUGAGAUCUGUGUUGUCUCUAUUUUGUUUGGUAUAAAGUUUAAAUCUUCGAGAGGGAUAGUUUCUGUUGUGGAGAAAGAAGAGUAGCUGUAGGUAAGCAAAAGGCUACUCUGUUUGUGUAGUUCCCUAGUGGACUUUAAGCACUCCUCCACCGAGCUAUUUUUGCUGCAAGUACAUAAUCACUGUCUCACCAAAUUGUGAUUGCAGGCUUCGAGCCAUUGCGCACAGAAAUAUAGUGUAGGAAUCAUAUGAUUUGAAGUUAGUUUAUUGUGAAGAUAUGUGGAUGUUAUUUUUUUUCCUCUUCACUUUGCCAUGGAAUUUAGACCAUUGAUUUGUGUUGAGAAAAUAAAAGAAUCUUUGAUGUCAAAACAUGUUAUGAUCUAUUUUAAUUUAUGCUUUUGGAUUCGAACUGUUUUCAUGUCUACAAUGCUUUGAUUUUAUAUUAUAAGGUUAUUUAGUUCAA